AUGGGGAUUCUUGCUCUUACCAAUUUUUUUGUUAAUGCAUCAUCCCCCGAGGCGUCGAUGAAGAAGGUGGUCUGGUCUUGUCCUCCAAGAGGUUUCGUUAAAUUUAGUGUUGAUGCUUCUUUUGAUCACGAUCUUCUUAGGGGUUCCAUGGGAGCGGUCCUUCGAGACGACAAAAGCAGGUUUAUUGCUGGAGGGAAUCAGAAAAUAGAUUUUUGCGCGGAUGUGUUGAUGGCAGAAGCUUUAGCUCUCAAAUGCGGUCUAACACCGGCGCAAAGGGCGGGAUGCAAUCGCCUUGUUAUAAAUUCAGAUAAUAUGGAGGUGACUGAAACUAUGAAUGAUGGAGGACAGUCGGCGGGCGCGGCAGCAGCAAUCUUCGAUGAUUGUUAUCAUUAUGCUUGUGAUUUCGUUACUGCUAGAUUUAAACACUGUAAUAGGGAAGCAAACAAAGUAGCUCAUGAGCUUGCUAGACUAGCUAAUUUUCUUUGA
Molecule: ribosomal RNA, 486 nt
Filed under: Triticum aestivum (bread wheat)
Lineage: Eukaryota; Viridiplantae; Streptophyta; Magnoliopsida; Poales; Poaceae
Description: partial small subunit ribosomal RNA
Source: RNAcentral